Molecule: non-coding RNA, 662 nt
Organism: Drosophila melanogaster (fruit fly)
Lineage: Eukaryota; Metazoa; Arthropoda; Insecta; Diptera; Drosophilidae
Source: Ensembl
GCUGUCAAAUUUGGAAAUUAUUCUACUCACUCGGCUUGCAAGUGGAGCAUGAACUAUACGAGAACGAGCCACGCAUUCUGCAGGUGAUGCAGUAAAGGAUGCAUCUUGAAGAUACUGCCAUGAAUCCACGAGAUGCUGUUACAGAUGGUGUGCCAUAAACUUAUUGUGGCAACGGCAAAACCGGAUUGCAGCAGCUGCUUCAUUUCAUUCCCAUUGCCCGACAUCCAGCUCCGUUCACAUCAUUGAUUUGCCGCUGCCACGCCCCACGAGCAGCUCCAACCGCCCACUCCGCAUCCUCAUCGUCCUGCGAUCGAUGUUGGCAAUUUCGUUUGGGGCUUGGCGCAAUUUCACUUGCCAUUGUCAUGGCCAUAAAAAACGGAGCAAGGAAGCUGCUUUGAACGCUCUGAUUGACCAUUGAAAUUGCACGUCAGCUUUCAGAGGAGUGACAGGGACAGAAGGGCGGCUAGAGGGGAUGUGGGAUCGUUGCACGUGGCGGAUGAGUAAUGUGUGCGACAUGCCUGCCAAUGAGCGGAUUGACUCACGAUAUACCGGAAAGGGCUGGCAAUUAAUUAGAGCUGGCAGCUAAAAAUAACCCAGGCACUGUGAAAAUAUAUAACGAUUUUCCCCCAGUUCCUUGUCAUCGGGAAAAUAUUUAUAUUGGC